AUUGAACGCUGGCGGCAGGCCUAACACAUGCAAGUCGAACGGUAACAGGAAGCAGCUUGCUGCUUUGCUGACGAGUGGCGGACGGGUGAGUAAUGUCUGGGAAACUGCCUGAUGGAGGGGGAUAACUACUGGAAACGGUAGCUAAUACCGCAUAACGUCGCAAGACCAAAGAGGGGGACCUUCGGGCCUCUUGCCAUCGGAUGGGCCCAGAUGGGAUUAGCUAGUAGGUGGGGUAACGGCUCACCUAGGCGACGAUCCCUAGCUGGUCUGAGAGGAUGACCAGCCACACUGGAACUGAGACACGGUCCAGACUCCUACGGGAGGCAGCAGUGGGGAAUAUUGCACAAUGGGCGCAAGCCUGAUGCAGCCAUGCCGCGUGUAUGAAGAAGGCCUUCGGGUUGUAAAGUACUUUCAGCGGGGAGGAAGGGAGUAAAGUUAAUACCUUUGCUCAUUGACGUUACCCGCAGAAGAAGCACCGGCUAACUCCGUG
Molecule: ribosomal RNA, 490 nt
Filed under: uncultured bacterium
Lineage: Bacteria
Description: partial 16S ribosomal RNA
Rfam family: Bacterial small subunit ribosomal RNA
Source: RNAcentral